RNAcentral lists this transfer RNA (72 nucleotides) under Ceratina okinawana. RNAcentral's name for it is "tRNA-Lys". Lineage: Eukaryota; Metazoa; Arthropoda; Insecta; Hymenoptera; Apidae. The record is from RNAcentral.
UAUUAGAUGUCUGAAAUGUAAGAAUUGAUUUUUUAAAUCAUUUUAUAGUAUUUUAACGUAUACUUCUAAUAA